AGAGGAGAUGAUAUAAGAGACUCACGUCCACGGCCGCGCCCCUCGAACUUUCGCUUUCCCUCUUCUCCAGGAAGAGCGCACCGACAAAGGGGACAAAGGAUGACUGCUGCCGGAGACGGAACCGGGGGUAGGGUGAACGGGCGGGCGGCGACGAUCUCGUCGGGGUCGAGGAAAUUAGUGCAGAGUCUUAAGGAAAUCGUCAACUGCUCCGAACCGGAGAUCUAUGCCAUGUUGCGCGAGUGCAAUAUGGACCCUAAUGAGGCCGUCCAAUGCCUCCUAUCCCAAGAUACUUUUCAGGAGGUCAAAAGCAAGCGUGACAAGAAAAAGGAGGUCAGAGAGUUUCCAAAUCUAGAUCUCAAACAGUCAACACCAAUUCAGGUCGUGGAUCUAAGGGUAGUAGUGAUCAUAGGGGCCAUCAUCAGUCCAGUUUGACUGAAUAUGAAGUUGAUAAAAGUAAACAUAUGCACAAGAAACAAAAUGAUAUUACUGUUGCUCCUGUCUCAUCAGUUGUGGAAUCGGCAACAAUAAUAAAUCCUACAAAAAGACCAACUGUCGAGAGGUGAUUUCUUCCUUAAUAUUCAGGAAUAAAUUUAGCACGUUUCAUAACAAGGCAAAAAUUUCCACUCAUUUAACCAAGAUCAGGGUCUGAAUCUCUUUUUUUAUUAUUAUUCAAAAAAUAUUCUAGUUUUCCUUUUUUGAUGACAUUGGAGUAAAUUGAUCCUAUUAUUUCUAGAGUAUGUUGUUAUUUUUUCCUUUUAAAAAAAAAUUAGAAGACACUUGCUUAGCUUGGUUGCUGUUAAAGAUGAUUCUCUUCCCUGAUUUGUUUUUCUCACAUCUUUUAAUCCAUCAUUUUUUUUUCUGGUUACACACAGCAUUUUGGAAGAACUGUAAUGACAUUGGUGUCAAAUUCUUGUUCUGUUGUUUUAUUAUAUUUUCUCUGCUGACACACAAGUGAGCAUAAUUUUACUAAGCUAACCUGCCACAAUUCUGUUAAAUUAGUGUCAUAUAUUUGUUACCAUACAGAUUAGUUAACUAAUAUUUUGGUCUAAAAUUAUAUCAAUAUUAUCAUAUUAUAUGAUAUACACAAUAAAUUCAGAUAUGGUGUGGAAUUUUUGGUGGUUUUAUAUAAAAACUUCAAACCCACCCAGUGGAACCCGAUUUCUAAAUACAUGAACCUGAAAAAACAUGAUUUUUCAAAGCGGUUUAGUUUAGCUGAUUUGUAUUAUCUAAUAGGUUCCUAAUUUAGACCAACUUUGCAAAUAAAUUGUGAGGCAUGCUCAUCUUUCUUGAGCUGGAAAUUUUAAACCAAUCAUAACUUUUGAAAUACGUUGGAUUACUUCUUGAUGAUGGCUUCAGUUCCACCUGGAGGCAAAUAUGUCUCAGCUUCUCAGGACUUACUGGACUGCUAGCUUUUCAUCUAUAUGUGGAUUUUGGACAGUUUGAGUGGGUAAUUUAUUGCAUCCAAUCUAUUUAUCAGAGUCCCACAAUAGCUAUUAGGUAUAGUCUGUUAAUGAUAGCCAAGUGAUUUUACUGUAGAAGUGUACACUGGAGAAUCUGAUUUCCUGGAUCUCAUUCUUGCCCUAAUGUUACUGAAGCAAAGAUUUGGCUUUUUGGGGCUUCAGUGAUCUUACUGGCUGCUUUAUUUUCUUGCAGCAGUUUUGCUCCCAUUAAAGAUACAAUGCAUAAAACAAAAAUUGCUGAUGCAAUUUCUACACCUUUGCAAUGUUCAUCUAGUUUUCAAAACAGUUAGUUAGGGAAUCCAGGACAUGUUUCUAUGGCUGAUAUUGUCCAGACGGGCAGACCUGAAGGGAAACAAAGUACUGUGCCUGCUGUUGCAAGUGUAAAUUCCUACAGGUCACACAGUGCGGUAAUAACAAACAUGUCAAACCACGAUGCAAAACAAUCCUUUGCUACAUCUCUAACAUCAGAAUCAGAAGAAAAGGUAGACACUCCUUUGAAGAAUUUAAUCAUUUUUCAGAUAAAAGCCAUGGCAUUGGAACUGCUGAACAUCAUCACAUUUCCAAUUAUGGGUGGUUCCUAGUCCAAGAGCAACCUGCAGAAAGUGUGUUAACCACUAUGGAGAUAACUUCACCAGCUUAUACUAACCCAUCAGAACUGGCAGCACCUAAUUUGAUGGUUGUUUGUUUGGACUUGCAAAUAGAUCCUUGUUCAAAAGAUAUCCAAGACCAUGAUGGAAGAGCAAGUGUUAAACCUCAGGCAAUAGAAUCCAGACCCAUAUCUGCAUCAGAAAGGCAGUUAGAUGUUGAAACGUCUGAAGAUGCUUCCUAUUUCGAUGACAGAUUAUUGAGUAUGGAUUCCUACCAAUCUGUAGAUUUUGAAUUUAAUUGCCAUAAAGGUAAAAGUUAAUCACUUAGGAUCCUUCUCUUUCCUGUCAUAUAUCUUUUCUGUUUUAUGUUUGUUAAGAGAAUGAGAUUUAUUAUUGCUUUUACAGAUAGAAAUUUGGUUUAUAUAGAAAUUGUAGCUGAAGGUGCAAACUAACUUAGUUUGGUUGGGACUUUCAAAAUGGCUGUGUUUAUAACUUGGGUUUGAAUCCUACCUGCUUCAUUCAUUAGUAGGUUUUAUCUACUUCUUUCCAUUCAAAUAAGUUUUGAAAUCAGAAAACAGGAUGUGCAGUUAUCCAUUGGCAAUGCCAACUAUUUGAGGCCAAAUACAUUGAUGUCUAUAUUACUAGAAAGAAAACACAUCAUGGAUGUAGUAAAAGGCAAAUGUGCCAGUCUAAAUCUAAUAGAACAAAAAUUUCAUAGGGGUUGGAAAUGUAGAUGAUCUAUCAUGAAUUUCGAGAGGCUAACAAUCCACCAUUGCUUCUGCUUUGAAGGAAUAGAUAUUGACCUAAAUUUGAGCGGAUAGUUAAUUAAGUCAUAUAACAAGAUUUAGAGAACUAGAACAAUUCAAGAUGGAUCUAGGAGACUAUUUUAUUAAUUCAUUUGAACUGAUGUACAACUUGUGAACAAUUAUUGCAACUUCAAUUAAUGCUUACCCAGACAAAAAUAGUUAAGAUGGCAUGCACUUCUAAUGGGCUUAUAGAUCUAUAUUGCACAAGAUGAUUAGAGUAGUAGGGAAAGUGACAGUGAAAGAUAUUUAAAUUACCUUUUGAUUGAGUAAUGUUAUAAUGUUAGGCGGAGUAUAAUGGCGGUGAAAGAUGAAGAACUCAAUUCAUUGGGACCAAAAAAUUGGUCUGCAGCUACAAACUUUACUGAGCUGAGGAUGGUUUGGAGAUUUCUUCAACUGCCGCAACACUAAGGCAAUUAAGUGUACAAGGGGGAGGGGAACACAAAAACUAAGGCUGGGCCUGCAUUAAUAAUUCCUGACCAUCUCAGGGUUACAAAUGCAGAUUGUUCCCAACUAAGUUUUGGUAGUUUUGGGGCUGGUGCAUUUUCCAGAUCCUUUUCGUCAAAGCCACCAGAAAGCAACUUGAAAGUGGCCCCAGCUGUAAAUGAUGAUUAUCAAAUUGAUGAGUCAGAUUCGAGAAAUCAUGAGUACCACAGCAAUGAGCAGUUCAAGCUACUCUCACUGAGAAUGUAGCUUCCAUAACUUGCACUGCUUCAGAAAAUGUUGACGUGCCUUCAAUUUUACAACCUGAAGGUUCAUUGGAUGCUACAAAUGAGUAUGACUUUCCGUCAGUUUCCAGUUAUGGGUUGCCAAGCUCCACACAGCCAAAUGCUACAGCUCACACCUAUCUGCAUGGGAAUUCACAAAUACAAAAUCUUUCACCUUUUCAAGUCUAAUGCAAGCCAAUUCUCUACAAAACAACAUGUUAGCAACAAGCUUUCCACAUCUUCAAGACGUUGAUCACCCGUUGUCUCCCCUGCUUGCAAACCAGCAUGUAUCGACGAGGUAUGGCACUACAGUGUCAUCUAUCGGUGGAUCAUCCUCUUCCAUGCCCGAGGUCUUGAAACCCACAAUGUUUCUGAAUCCUCAAUCGGCUCCUGUAUCCUUGCCUACAACCACCCUGCUUACAAGCUCUGCAUUCCCUCAGGCCCUUCCUGUUCCGCAUUACUCUCAGCCAGCUAUUCCAUUAGGGCAUUUUGCUAAUCUGUUAAGCUAUCCCAUUCAACCACAGAGCUACCCAUACUUGCCUCUGAUACAACAAACAUUGUAUGUGGUCAGCCCAUUCCAUCCAUCUGCUGUCUUACAUAAUGCCGGCAUGAAGUAUUCGCAACUUCAAUACGAAAGCAACUUACCCACACCAAGUUUGCCCCAGGCUUCUGCCAUAUCUCAUUAUGGAGGGUUCGGAAGCUCAUCUAGCAUUCCUGGAGGCUUGAACCUCACCCACACAACUGCUUCUAACACGAUGAUUGGGAUUAAUGAAGCUCUGAGCCAGCAGUACAGAGAAGCGAGUCAUUUCUUAUCCCUUCAGCAGGAGGCUUGCAAAGAGAACAUUUACAGAAUCCUACCGAACUGAAUCUCAAUGGUUCUCAGACCACCACACAAUCGCAACCAGCAAGCCAAAUCUGGCAACAAGGCUACUAAGCCGUCUCCUAAGUUUUCAAAGUUUUUUAGAGGGCUCAAGUAGGUUGAUCCCAGACAUAUGCCUAAGAGGCUGAGGGCUGUGCGUCUUUAGAGUUGGAGCGCGUGUUCUAAUGGUUAGUGAUGUGUUAGAUGGCUUUUCUGUGCAACAUUGAACUCUUAUUUAACAAAAGUUGUUCUCUCUGGUUAUGAAAUAUUACAAAAUAUUUCACGAAGUGAAA
Zingiber officinale is the source of this 4709-nucleotide RNA transcript. RefSeq lists it as uncharacterized. The transcript is spliced from 9 exons. Lineage: Eukaryota; Viridiplantae; Streptophyta; Magnoliopsida; Zingiberales; Zingiberaceae. The record is from RefSeq and is a predicted model, not a curated record.